UAAAACCGAACCAUCACCACGGUUCUAUUCGACAUCCCGACACCCUUCCCCACUCUCGAACAUACCUUCUGAAUAAGCAAACAAGCACCACUCGAAACUCUGUUGAGUCGUGUAACCUGCAACAAGAUAGACGCCGCCGGAAUCCAUUCGGGUUCACAACAUAGUUUGCUCAAUCUUACACCCACGCCGGGACCUCACCACUUGCCGGAGUUACGAAGACGACUCGGAGAUCACACCGGGGACUCGGCUCGACUCGCUACCACCCGUAACCCGCAAUCUUUUACAUUCCGUAAUGAACGUAUGUAAACAAGGAACGUGAAGACGACACCGAAACGCAAAAGCCAUACUUGCUCAGUCGCAGCCACCGGAGAACCAACCUCAUCGGAGAAACUCAUCGGAGAAGUCGAGAACAUCAGAAAGCCUCCACCUCGUUCUUGUUUCGAUUCGGAUAAUUGCUCUCGUUUGUUCACUUGGAUUAUUCUCCAUCUUUACUCGUACGUUACUUACAAGAAAUCGCAACGCAAUCAAUGUGAGUAUACUCGAUCCCAUUUUCGUUUUAAACACUUUUGGGUGCAACAUGUAUUCUAUACAAAAACACGCAACGUUUGAAUCUUGUUUUUAUCACACUCUAUCCACAUUUAAACAUGAAACAAUUUGAUGCUUGUAAACUCAUAUGCUACGCAAGUUGAACGUGUUAAUCUCAAUGCCCUUGAGUCUUGGGGUAUUGCGAUGUUGAACGAUAUUUGAA
Helianthus annuus (common sunflower) is the source of this 748-nucleotide long non-coding RNA. RefSeq lists it as uncharacterized. The transcript is spliced from 3 exons. Lineage: Eukaryota; Viridiplantae; Streptophyta; Magnoliopsida; Asterales; Asteraceae. The record is from RefSeq and is a predicted model, not a curated record.